GACGAACGCUGGCGGCGUGCCUAAUACAUGCAAGUAGAACGCUGAAGGAGGAGCUUGCUCUUCUGGAUGAGUUGCGAACGGGUGAGUAACGCGUAGGUAACCUGCCUGGUAGCGGGGGAUAACUAUUGGAAACGAUAGCUAAUACCGCAUAACAGUAGAUGUUGCAUGACAUUUGCUUAAAAGGUGCAAUUGCACCACUACCAGAUGGACCUGCGUUGUAUUAGCUAGUUGGUGGGGUAACGGCUCACCAAGGCGACGAUACAUAGCCGACCUGAGAGGGGGGGUGGCCACACUGGGACGGAGACACGGCCCAGACUCCUACGGGAGGCAGCCAGAGGGAAUCUUCGGCAAUGGACGGAAGUCUGACCGAGCAACGCCGCGUGAGUGAAGAAGGUUGUCGGAUCGUAAAGCUCUGUUGUAAGAGAAGAACGAGUGUGAGAGUGGAAAGUUCACACUGUGACGGUAUCUGACCAGAAAGCGACGGCUAACUACGUG
This 495-nucleotide ribosomal RNA is filed under the name uncultured bacterium. RNAcentral's name for it is "partial 16S ribosomal RNA". It matches the Rfam family "Bacterial small subunit ribosomal RNA", at positions 28 to 507 of the family's 1533-position model. The record is from RNAcentral.